RNAcentral lists this long non-coding RNA (2567 nucleotides) under Homo sapiens (human). RNAcentral describes it as "HSALNT0342358". Lineage: Eukaryota; Metazoa; Chordata; Mammalia; Primates; Hominidae. The record is from RNAcentral.
UGGCAGGGGUCAGUGUUGUGUGUAGCGAGCCAGUGCUGCUGUGGGUGGGUGUAGAUGCCUCCACGAGGCCUGAGGUUAUGGUGUCGUCAGGUAAGAGUGUGGUUUCAGUGUCGCCUGGGCUGCUGUGGAAGGUUGUAGAUUGUUGACCAAGGGAUGAGGCUGUGGUACUGCCAGGGGACAGUGUUGCCUCUGUUGAGCCUUGGCUGCUGUGGGAAGUUGUAGGUUCCUGACUGAGGCCUGAGGUGGUGGUGCUGUCAGGGAACGCUGUUGUGUGCGUUGAGCCUGGUUGACUGUGGGAUGUGCUGGAUUCUUCGCUGACGCCUGAGCUUGUUGUGGUUGCAGGUGAGAGUGUUGCAUCUGGUGAUCUGGGGCUAGUGUAGAAGGUGGUUGAUUUCUCACUGAGGCUUGGUGUUGUGGGACUGCCGGGUAAAGUUGUUGUUUCGGUUGAGCUUGGACUGAGGCGUGAGGGUGUGGAUUCUCCAACGAGGCCAGAGGUGGUGGAGCGGGCAGGUGAGAGUUUUGUUCCAGUUGAGCCUGAGCUGCUGGGAAAGGUAGUUGAUUCCUCACCGAGGUCUGCGGUUGUGAGUGUGGCAGGUAACCCUGUUUGGGUGGAGGCUGGGCUGCCGGGGAAGGCUGUAGAUUCUUCAGUGAGGCCCGAGGUGGUGCUGUCCUCAGUGAACAGUGUUGUGUGAGUUGAGGCUGGCCGGCUGUGGAAGGUUGUAGGCUCUUCACGACGAACUGAGGUUGUGGUGCUGCGAGGGAACACUGUGGUUUCAGUUGAGCCUGGGCUGCUGCUGUAGACGGUGGUAGAUUCCUCACUGAGGCCUGGCGUGGUGGUGCUGGCAGGUGACACUGUUGAGUGAGUAGAACCUGGUUGGCUACGGGAGGUGGUGGAUUCUUCACCGACGCCUAGGCUUGUCAUACUGGCAGGUGAGAGUGUUGUGGUUGGUGAUCUGGGGCUGCUGUAGAAGGUGGUAGAUGCCUCACUGAGGCCUGGUGUUGUGGUACUGCCAGGUAACGUUGUUAUUUCAGUUGAGCCUGGACUGAUGCGUGAGGUUGUAGAUUCUCCACGACCUGAGGUUGUGGAGUGGGCAGAUGAGGGUGUUGUUCCACUUGCAUCUGGGCUGCUGUGGAAUAUUGUUGAUUUCUCACUGUGGCCCGAAGUUGUGGAGCUGGCAGGGAAGUGUGUUGUUGGAGUCGAGCCUGGGCUGCGGUGGUAGGUUGUAGAUUCUUCAACAGGGGCUGUUGCGGUGCUAGGAGGUGAAGGCGUCGUGUGAGUUGAGGCUGGGUGGGUCUGGAAGGCGGUAGAUUCUCCCUGAAGUCCAGGGCUUGUGGAGCUGGCAGGGGACAGUGUUGUGCGUGGUGAGCCAGUGCUGCUGUGGACGCGUGUAGAUGCUUCAACGAUGCCUGAGCUUGUGGUGCUGUCAGGGAAGAGUGUUGUGUGAGUGGAGCCUGGGCUGCUGUGGAAGGUUGUAGAUUCGACCAAGGGAUGAGGCUGUGGUACUGCCAGGGGACAGUGUUGCCUCUGUUGAGCCUUGGCUGCUGUGGGAAGCUGUAGGUUCCUGACUGAGGCCUGAGGUGGUGGUGCUGUCAGGGAACGCUGUUGUGUGCGUUGAGCCUGGUUGACUGUGGGAUGUGCUGGAUUCUUCACUGACGCCUGAGCUUGUUGUGGUUGCAGGUGAGAGUGUUGCAUCUGGUGAUCUGGGGCUAGUGUAGAAGGUGGUUGAUUUCUCACUGAGGCUUGGUGUUGUGGGACUGCCGGGUAAAGUUGUUGUUUCGGUUGAGCUUGGACUGAGGCGUGAGGGUGUGGAUUCUCCAACGAGGCCAGAGGUGGUGGAGCGGGCAGGUGAGAGUGUUGUUCCAGUUGAGCCUGAGCUGCUGGGAAAGGUAGUUGAUUCCUCACCGAGGUCUGCGGUUGUGAGUGUGGCAGGUAACCCUGUUUGGGUGGAGGCUGGGCUGCCGGGGAAGGCUGUAGAUUCUUCAGUGAGGCCCGAGGUGGUGCUGUCCUCAGUGAACAGUGUUGUGUGAGUUGAGGCUGGCCGGCUGUGGAAGGUUGUAGGCUCUUCACCACGAACUGAGGUUGUGGUGCUGCGAGGGAACACUGUGGUUUCAGUUGAGCCUGGGCUGCUGCUGUAGACGGUGGUAGAUUCCUCACUGAGGCCUGGCGUGGUGGUGCUGGCAGGUGACACUGUUGAGUGAGUAGAACCUGGUUGGCUACGGGAGGUGGUGGAUUCUUCACCGACGCCUAGGCUUGUCAUACUGGCAGGUGAGAGUGUUGUGGUUGGUGAUCUGGGGCUGCUGUAGAAGGUGGUAGAUGCCUCACUGAGGCCUGGUGUUGUGGUACUGCCAGGUAACGUUGUUAUUUCAGUUGAGCCUGGACUGAUGCGUGAGGUUGUAGAUUCUCCACGACCUGAGGUUGUGGAGUGGGCAGAUGAGGGUGUUGUUCCACUUGCAUCUGGGCUGCUGUGGAAUAUUGUUGAUUUCUCACUGUGGCCCGAAGUUGUGGAGCUGGCAGGGAAGUGUGUUGUUGGAGUCGAGCCUGGGCUGCGGUGGUAGGUUGUAGAUUC